RNAcentral lists this ribosomal RNA (253 nucleotides) under uncultured bacterium. RNAcentral describes it as "partial 16S ribosomal RNA". It matches the Rfam family "Bacterial small subunit ribosomal RNA", at positions 524 to 776 of the family's 1533-position model. The record is from RNAcentral.
UACGAACCGUACGAACGUUAUUCGGAAUCAUUGGGCUUAAAGGGUACGUAGGCGGCGCUGUCAGUCGGGUGUGAAAGCCCUCGGCUCAACCGAGGAAUUGCGCCCGAUACUGCAACGCUUGAGGGAGACAGAGGUAAGCGGAACUGAUGGUGGAGCGGUGAAAUGCGUUGAUAUCAUCAGGAACACCAGUGGCGAAAGCGGCUUACUGGGUCUCUUCUGACGCUGAGGUACGAAAGCUAGGGGAGCGAAGGGG